UCACUUCAGCAGUAGAUAUACUAAAAUUGGAACGAUACAGAGACCAUUAGCAUGGCCCCUGCACGAGGAUGACACACAAAUUCAUGAAGCAUUCCAUAUUUUU
Molecule: small nuclear RNA, 103 nt
Filed under: Neotoma lepida (desert woodrat)
Lineage: Eukaryota; Metazoa; Chordata; Mammalia; Rodentia; Cricetidae
Source: RNAcentral